This 486-nucleotide ribosomal RNA is filed under the name uncultured bacterium. RNAcentral describes it as "partial 16S ribosomal RNA". It matches the Rfam family "Bacterial small subunit ribosomal RNA", at positions 30 to 507 of the family's 1533-position model. The record is from RNAcentral.
AUUGAACGCUGGCGGCAUGCCUUACACAUGCAAGUCGAACGGCAGCACGGGUGCUUGCACCUGGUGGCGAGUGGCGAACGGGUGAGUAAUACAUCGGAACAUGUCCUGUAGUGGGGGAUAGCCCGGCGAAAGCCGGAUUAAUACCGCAUACGAUCUACGGAUGAAAGCGGGGGACCUUCGGGCCUCGCGCUAUAGGGUUGGCCGAUGGCUGAUUAGCUAGUUGGUGGGGUAAAGGCCUACCAAGGCGACGAUCAGCAGCUGGUCUGAGAGGACGACCAGCCACACUGGGACUGAGACACGGCCCAGACUCCUACGGGAGGCAGCAGUGGGGAAUUUUGGACAAUGGGCGAAAGCCUGAUCCAGCAGUGCCGCGUGUGUGAAGAAGGCCUUCGGGUUGUAAAGCACUUUUGUCCGGAAAGAAAUCCUUGGCCCUAAUACGGUCGGGGGAUGACGGUACCGGAAGAAUAAGCACCGGCUAACUACGUG